GUAGUCCACGCCGUAAACGAUGAACACUAGAUGUCGGAAGUUCUUACCCUUUCGGUGUCGUAGCUAACGCGUUAAGUGUUCCGCCUGGGGAUUACGGUCGCAAGAUUAAAACUCAAAGAAAUUGACGGGGGCCCGCACAAGCGGUGGAGUAUGUGGUUUAAUUCGAUGCAACGCGAAGAACCUUACCUGGGCUUGACAUCCCGCGCAACCCUGUGAAAGCAGGGGUUCCCUUCGGGGACGCGGUGACAGGUGCUGCAUGGCUGUCGUCAGCUCGUGUCGUGAGAUGUUGGGUUAAGUCCCGCAACGAGCGCAACCCUUGUCAUUAGUUGCCAGCAUUAAGUUGGGCACUCUAAUGAGACCGCUUGCCGAUAAGGCAGA
Molecule: ribosomal RNA, 378 nt
Filed under: uncultured bacterium
Lineage: Bacteria
Description: bacterial SSU rRNA
Rfam family: Bacterial small subunit ribosomal RNA
Source: RNAcentral